UGUGGGAGCGGGCUUGCCCGUGAUAGCGGUGUGCCAGGCAACAAAUCUAUGCCAGGUAGACCGCCAUCGCGGGCAAGCCCGCUCCCACA
RNAcentral lists this unclassified non-coding RNA (89 nucleotides) under Pseudomonas gessardii. The record is from RNAcentral. Lineage: Bacteria; Pseudomonadati; Pseudomonadota; Gammaproteobacteria; Pseudomonadales; Pseudomonadaceae.